RNAcentral lists this ribosomal RNA (497 nucleotides) under uncultured bacterium. Its description in RNAcentral is "partial 16S ribosomal RNA". It matches the Rfam family "Bacterial small subunit ribosomal RNA", at positions 28 to 507 of the family's 1533-position model. The record is from RNAcentral.
GAUGAACGCUGGCGGCGUGCCUAAUACAUGCAAGUCGAGCGAACAGACGAGGAGUUUGCUCCUCUGACGUUAGCGGCGGACGGGUGAGUAACACGUGGAUAACCUACCUAUAAGACUGGGAUAACUUCGGGAAACCGGAGCUAAUACCGGAUAAUAUAUUGAACCGCAUGGUUCAAUAGUGAAAGACGGGUUUGCUGUCACUUAUAGAUGGAUCCGCGCCGCAUUAGCUAGUUGGGAAGGUAACGGCUUACCAAGGCAACGAUGCGUAGCCGACCUGAGAGGGUGAUCGGCCACACUGGAACUGAGACACGGUCCAGACUCCUACGGGAGGCAGCAGUAGGGAAUCUUCCGCAAUGGGCGAAAGCCUGACGGAGCAACGCCGCGUGAGUGAUGAAGGUCUUCGGAUCGUAAAACUCUGUUAUUAGGGAAGAACAAAUGUGUAAGUAACUAUGCACGUCUUGACGGUACCUAAUCAGAAAGCCACGGCUAACUACGUG